This 139-nucleotide ribosomal RNA is filed under the name uncultured bacterium. RNAcentral's name for it is "partial 16S rRNA". It matches the Rfam family "Bacterial small subunit ribosomal RNA", at positions 357 to 511 of the family's 1533-position model. The record is from RNAcentral.
GGGAAUUUCCCGCAAUGGGCGAAAGCCUGACGGAGCAAUGCCGCGUGGAGGUGGAAGGCCUACGGGUCGUCAACUUCUUUUCUCGGAGAAGAAACAAUGACGGUAUCUGAGGAAUAAGCAUCGGCUAACUCUGUGCCAG